Molecule: long non-coding RNA, 1237 nt
Organism: Gasterosteus aculeatus aculeatus (three-spined stickleback)
Lineage: Eukaryota; Metazoa; Chordata; Actinopteri; Perciformes; Gasterosteidae
Source: Ensembl
GGAGAACUUUUUCUCCGGGAAUUAUUAUUCUCAAGUCAAUCUUGAAAUUUAACCCUCGCAUCAUUAUUAUUAUUAUUACUCUGGAUAUUUAGAUGACGAUCAGUUUCUUUAUUUCUUACAACUUUUAUUAAUUUACAUAUCAUGCCUGAACCUCAGGGGACUCAAAGAUGUGGAAACACUGUUUGCCGAGUUGAGAACCCGGUUGCCGUGGCGACGUGAGGUCCUGGAACCAGGAGGUCGGCGGGCGAUCGGGGAUGAACACAUGAUGAUCUGGGGACAAACAUUAAGACCUGGACCCCGAACUCCAUUUUCAACGUUGGUGCGCAGACCGGAGACCAUAUUCCACCAUGUUGCUCUUUGGUCUAUUUCAAAUGAACAACAGCCUUCAGGUUGAAAACUGCACUAAACACAGACCAUCCCAUGAUAACAACCAGGAACUACAGACACAAAACAAGUAGCGUGUUACAUCACAUCACAUUACAUCACAUCACAUCACAUUACAUCACAUUACAUUACAUUACAGCACAUUACAUUACAUUACAUUACAUCACAUCACAUCACAUCACAUUACAUCACAUUACAUCACAUCACAUCACAUCACAUCACAUUACAUCACAUCCCAUCACAUUACAUUACAUCACAUCACAUCACAUCACAUUACAUUACAUCACAUCACAUUACAUCACAUUACAUUUCAUCACAUUACAUCACAUCACAUCACAUCACAUUACAUUACAUUACAUCACAUUACAUCACAUCACAUUACAUUGAGCUUGAACACAAGAUAUUAGAAAUAAGUGAUAAAACCACGAAUGCAUUCAAUGAUUGAGGAAGAUAAAGGUGGAAAUGGCUCAUUUCGGCCCGUCGUGUUCGCUCAGCUGUCCGCAGCCCGCCGGCCCCUGUAAUCGGGUUAAAGGACCCAGGACCUCUGUGCCGCCCCCCAUCCGGUUGAUAUCUGCCUGCUCUCUUUUGUUUUUACCUGGUUUUAGUUUUCCCCUUUCUGCGAUUGAUGAAAAACGUUUGGGUUAAAACAACCACUGAACUAAUGACACAGCAGGAGGAAACAUCUCUGUUAGUUGAACAUUUUGUAAUUUGUAUUUCUUCAUUCCUUGAAAUAUUUUCAAUGUAUAGAAACAUAUUCCUAUUAAUUCAGAUGAUUUAACUGGUUUGGAGACUAAUGGUUUGGAGACAAGUUGUGCCUUUGAAAACACAAGAUGAAUAAAGAGUUCUAACUAUU